RNAcentral lists this ribosomal RNA (470 nucleotides) under uncultured bacterium. Its description in RNAcentral is "bacterial SSU rRNA". It matches the Rfam family "Bacterial small subunit ribosomal RNA", at positions 28 to 507 of the family's 1533-position model. The record is from RNAcentral.
GACGAACGCUGGCGGCGUGCCUAACACAUGCAAGUCGAGCGAGGAGAGUUUCUUCGGGAACAAACCUAGCGGCGGACGGGUGAGUAACACGUGGGCAACCUGCCUUGUAGAGGGGAAUAGCCUUCCGAAAAGGAAGAUUAAUACCGCAUAACAUUACAGUUUCGCAUGAAACAGUAAUUAAAAGGAGCAAUCCGCUACAAGAUGGGCCCGCGGCGCAUUAGCUAGUUGGUGAGGUAACGGCUCACCAAGGCGACGAUGCGUAGCCGACCUGAGAGGGUGAUCGGCCACAUUGGGACUGAGACACGGCCCAGACUCCUACGGGAGGCAGCAGGUGGGGAAUAUUGCACAAGUACGGGGGAAACCCUGAUGCAGCAACGCCGCGUGAGUGAUGAAGGUUUUCGGAUCGUAAAGCUCUGUCUUCGGGGACGAUAAUGACGGUACCCGAGGAGGAAGCCACGGCUAACUACGUG